This 1498-nucleotide ribosomal RNA is filed under the name Thorsellia anophelis. Its description in RNAcentral is "16S ribosomal RNA". It matches the Rfam family "Bacterial small subunit ribosomal RNA". Lineage: Bacteria; Pseudomonadati; Pseudomonadota; Gammaproteobacteria; Enterobacterales; Thorselliaceae. The record is from RNAcentral.
AGAGUUUGAUUGGCUCAGAUUGAACGCUGGCGGCAGGCUUAACACAUGCAAGUCGAGCGGUAACAGGGGAGCUUGCUCCCGCUGACGAGCGGCGGACGGGUGAGUAAUGCCUGGGGAUCUGCCCUAGUGAGGGGAAUAACCACUGGAAACGGUGGCUAAUGCCGCAUAACGUCGCAAGACCAAAGUGGGGGACCUUCGGGCCUCACGCACUAGGAUGAACCCAGGUGAGAUUAGCUAGUUGGUGAGGUAAUGGCUCACCAAGGCGACGAUCUCUAGCUGGUCUGAGAGGAUGUUCAGCCACACUGGGACUGAGACACGGCCCAGACUCCUACGGGAGGCAGCAGUGGGGAAUAUUGGACAAUGGGGGCAACCCUGAUCCAGCCAUGCCGCGUGUGUGAAGAAGGCCUUCGGGUUGUAAAGCACUUUCAUUGGUGAGGAAGGAUAUAAAAUUAAUACUUUUAUGUAUUGACGUUAACCAAAGAAGAAGCACCGGCUAACUCCGUGCCAGCAGCCGCGGUAAUACGGAGGGUGCGAGCGUUAAUCGGAAUUACUGGGCGUAAAGGGCAUGCAGGCGGUUACAUAAGUCAGAUGUGAAAUCCCCGCGCUUAACGUGGGCAUUGCAUUUGAAACUAUGUAGCUAGAGUUCUGUAGAGGGGGGUAGAAUUCCAGGUGUAGCGGUGAAAUGCGUAGAGAUCUGGAGGAAUACCGAUUGCGAAGGCAGCCCCCUGGACAGUGACUGACGCUCAUAUGCGAAAGCGUGGGGAUCAAACAGGAUUAGAUACCCUGGUAGUCCACGCUGUCAACGAUGUCGAUUUGAAGGUUGUGGCUUUAAGCCGUGGCUUUCGGAGCUAACGCGUUAAAUCGACCGCCUGGGGAGUACGGCCGCAAGGUUAAAACUCAAAUGAAUUGACGGGGGCCCGCACAAGCGGUGGAGCAUGUGGUUUAAUUCGAUGCAACGCGAAGAACCUUACCUACUCUUGACAUCCAGUGAACCUUGUAGAGAUACGAGGGUGCCUUCGGGAACACUGAGACAGGUGCUGCAUGGCUGUCGUCAGCUCGUGUUGUGAAAUGUUGGGUUAAGUCCCGCAACGAGCGCAACCCUUAUCCUUUGUUGCUAGCGGUUCGGCCGAGAACUCAAAGGAGACUGCCAGUGUUAAACUGGAGGAAGGUGGGGAUGACGUCAAGUCAUCAUGGCCCUUACGAGUAGGGCUACACACGUGCUACAAUGGGGUAUACAAAGAGAGGCAAGCCUGCGAGGGUAAGCGGAACUCAUAAAGUACCUCAAAGUCCGGAUUGGAGUCUGCAACUCGACUCCAUGAAGUCGGAAUCGCUAGUAAUCGUAAAUCAGAAUGUUACGGUGAAUACGUUCCCGGGCCUUGUACACACCGCCCGUCACACCAUGGGAGUGGGUUGCAAAAGAAGUCAAUAGCUUAACCUUCGGGAGGGCGUUGACCACUUUGUGAUUCAUGACUGGGGUGAAGUCGUAACAAGGUACCCG